CCUACGGUGAGCAGCAGUGAGGAAUAUUGGUCAAUGGACGAGAGUCUGAACCAGCCAAGUAGCGUGAAGGAUGACUGCCCUAUGGGUUGUAAACUUCUUUUAUAAAGGAAUAAAACGAGGCACGUGUGCCUUUUUGCAUGUACUUUAUGAAUAAGGAUCGGCUAACUCCGUGCCAGCAGCCGCGGUAAUACGGAGGAUCCGAGCGUUAUCCGGAUUUAUUGGGUUUAAAGGGAGCGUAGAUGGGUUGUUAAGUCAGUUGUGAAAGUUUGCGGCUCAACCGUAAAAUUGCAAUUGAUACUGGCAGUCUUGAGUACAGUUGAGGUAGGCGGAAUUCGUGGUGUAGCGGUGAAAUGCUUAGAUAUAACGAAGAACCCCGAUUGCGAAGGCAGCUUACUAAACUGGGACUGACAUUGAUGCUCGAAAGUGUGGGUAUCAAACAGGAUUAGAUACCCCUGUGUC
Molecule: ribosomal RNA, 459 nt
Filed under: uncultured bacterium
Lineage: Bacteria
Description: partial 16S ribosomal RNA
Rfam family: Bacterial small subunit ribosomal RNA
Source: RNAcentral